This is a long non-coding RNA of Mus musculus (house mouse), 1636 nucleotides long. RefSeq annotates it as predicted gene, 33460. NCBI's taxonomy places the organism in Eukaryota, Metazoa, Chordata, Mammalia, Rodentia, Muridae. The record is from RefSeq and is a predicted model, not a curated record. The transcript has 4 exons.
GGCUUUGUAAACGCACGUUUUGGGUGUUUGAAAGGGUUAGGGGUGUGAGUGCUGCCUAAAAUAAACAGCUACCCUGGCGGGCAUCGGCGGCAGAGCUUCAUCUGGCACUGAGUACUCUGGGGACCCAACUUUUCUCUUGGAGAGCUGCAUGAGUGUGCUCCAUGCACAGGACCAAAGAGACUGUGAUCGCUUAGCUUGAGCGCUGAAGAAAUGAAGCCCACCUUGGGCUCGCCCAGGCGGCCCUGAUGCAAGCCCGGAGCGAGCCCGCCUGGUGUCUGCGCAGGCGGGAAGGGAUCCGGUUAGCCUCAUGGACCACAGCAGGACGGGUCCUCUCAAGUCAGUCUCAAGCUGUUGUCUGAAAUUCCAAACUUGAGAAAUCUCCACCGGGUGAAAGCGUGAUUUUUGAAAUCUGAACACAGCGGAGUGGAGGACAAUCGGAGGCGCGUCCCAGGAAGCAUGUGGAAGCAACGUCCGAAAGUGUAAACAGCCAGGACUUUAAAGCCAGGAAGUUAGUGUCCCUACCGGCGGCAGAAUGUGGGAACACAUUAAAAAGCAAAUCUCUAGAGACUACACACACCUGGCAUUCUGGGAAAAGUCGGGGCGGCUUUGCCAAAGAGUCUUGGAAAUGCGGAGUUUGUGGGCCCCCCAAGUUCGUGGCGGUGCUCUGGUCCCAGAAGUUUGGAGGACGGGAAAGACUGUCCACAGCUCAGGUAUAUCUUCUGGCAACCUUAAUUGGGCGCAGAAGGGGAGGAGGGCCCGCCUGAUUGCUUGCCUCCCCACAGCUAAUCCUCUUAGCAGCUGCAUUUCCGCGCUCCGCAGUUAAAAUGACCCUCCCAGCUAGACCUUUACCCCAGGAUGAGAAGGGGCUUCAAGGGUUUGCAAGCUGGGCUUUAAGCCGUCUGCAGAUAGCCCGGCGGGACGUCUGGCAGGGGGCGGGGAGAGCCCUCUUCCCCUAACUGCUUAGUCUUCCGCACACCUAGGAUUCAGUGAGGGCCUGGGGUGCCCUUCCCCGUCCGGGAUUAAUAACUAAAACCGUGAUGCACCGCUGUCCAGAUGCUGUUUGCAGAACUGCAGUGUACCAGACAAAUGGAAUACUUCUUUGUGGCUGCCGCGCCCAAAUCCUGAGUCCUGGAUGAAAUUUAGCUGAGGGUAAGGCGAGCGAGGACAUCCACGGAAAACCGUAAAUGGGCGCAAUAGGGUGCGCUAACAUCUCGCCGCUGCGGUGCUUAAGGGACCCGGAACUCUCGAAUGGCCACGGGGGUUCCCAUGGCGCUUACGUGGGUCUACGAACUGGUCGCCUAAAGUAAACCCAGGAAAAGAACUAAAUGACUAAGGGCCAGGGGGGAGGAUAGGAAGCUAGGAUUAAGCCUGCAGAGCACAAUCUUGCAUCUCCAGGGCAAACACUCCUUCCCCAACCCCAGCCAACACCCACUGUCCACACUUCCUAGUGGGGCGAGGAAGUAGAUCCUGUUCAUCUGUGGGGUUGGGGAAAUAAACAGAAGCACUCCCUGCUCACCACUCAACGAUAUCAGUAGCUAGUUAAAAGAUUAUAGAGCCUUCUGUGGAGGGGGAAGGGGUGUGUGUGUGUGUGUGUGUGUGUGUAUGUGAGAGAGAGAGAGAGAGAGAGAGAGAGAGA